RNAcentral lists this ribosomal RNA (435 nucleotides) under uncultured bacterium. Its description in RNAcentral is "partial 16S ribosomal RNA". It matches the Rfam family "Bacterial small subunit ribosomal RNA", at positions 29 to 507 of the family's 1533-position model. The record is from RNAcentral.
AACGAACGCUGGCGGCAUGCCUAACACAUGCGAGUCGAACGAUUGCCUUCGGGUGAUAGUGGCGCACGGGUGCGUAACGCAUGGGAAUCUGCCCUUAGGUUCGGAAUAACAGCUGGAAACGGCUGCUAAUACCGGAUGAUAUCGCGAGAUCAAAGAUUUAUCGCCUGAGGAUGAGCCCGCGUUGGAUUAGGUAGUUGGUGGGGUAAAGGCCUACCAAGCCGACGAUCCAUAGCUGGUCUGAGAGGAUGAUCAGCCACACUGGGACUGAGACACGGCCCAGACUCCUACGGGAGGCAGCAGUGGGGAAUAUUGGACAAUGGGCGCAAGCCUGAUCCAGCAAUGCCGCGUGAGUGAUGAAGGCCCUAGGGUUGUAAAGCUCUUUUACCCGGGAAGAUAAUGACUGUACCGGGAGAAUAAGCCCCGGCUAACUCCGUG